UAACCCUUGGACGCUCUUCCUUGUUCCUGACAAAUGACUCAGGUCUCGUGGGGGAUGUACCAAAGCAGGAGAGCCUUGCAAUGUUCAUUUGAUUACUUAACAGUUAGCACGACCAUAUUGUGUAUUUGUUGGCAUGACACAUUCGCCUUCGUUUGGGGUUAUGGCUUCGGAAGAUGAAACACAUGAAGUCAUCAAGUUAUUCAGAUGAAUGUUGGAGAACUUGCUGAUCCAGUCUGAAUAUAAAGUUGGAGGCGGUUCCAUAAUAUUGAGGAAGGUAGACAUGGGAAUGCUGUGUAGCAUACAUCGACAUGUGUGAACCAGCAGUUGGACUGCAGGAUUCUUCAGCAUUUUGUCACAGCAAGUGCAAGCACCUCGUAUGUGUCAUCAUGGCGGACAAAGAAGACAUUAAUGUGAGAGUACAGUAGAGACUGGAAUAUUGCUGUCUAUCUGGGCCCGACCCACCUGCCUCUCCCAGAAACAGUUUUAACCAGAAGAACCACCAUCUUUGGUAGUCAUAUCCAGACUAGCAUCUAAAAAGAUGCAAAGUAACGCUUUGAUCAGCAUUUUAUUUCUCUUUUUAAGACAGUUAAACAGGGGUUGCUUAUGAGU
Molecule: long non-coding RNA, 609 nt
Organism: Polypterus senegalus (gray bichir)
Lineage: Eukaryota; Metazoa; Chordata; Cladistia; Polypteriformes; Polypteridae
Exons: 4
Source: RefSeq, a predicted model, not a curated record